UUUUUUUUUUUUUUUUGUCGAAUACACCAUAACUUCAUUUCAUUUUGUAAACUUGAUAUUACAAGACUUAGAUACAGCAGAUUCGCUUCCUCUGAGGUCACUUUGGGCUUCCUCUUGGAGCCACAUGGGAAAACAUACAUCCCAUUCAACAUUUGUUGUUAGCUUGACAGCAAAUUUUGCUACACUAUGUGCACAUCUAUUCCCAUCUCUAUGCACAAAAGAGAAAGUACAUUGUUCAAACAAACCUCUCAUAUUUGCUAUAUCCUCAAGGAUGACCCCGAUGCUGUUUUGCUGCUUUUGUUUCUUGUUUAGCAUAUCCACCACGUCUUUGCAGUCUGAUUGAAGCUCAACUGCCCUCCAGUUUGCUUUCCAGGCCAUUUGCAUUCCCAUCCUAAUUGCUGCUGCUUCCUCCACCCGUGGCUCACUACGUUUUACUUCAGCUCUUGCCCAGACUUUCAUCAGCUCCCCUUCAGCAGUUCUGGCCACAACACCUAUACCUGUUCUCUCUAAAUUUUGUGAAAAUGCAGCAUCAGUAUUUAGUUUUAUCGUACCCCGUGAUGGUGGCCUCCAUGUCUUAAUUCUGCUUGAGAUUGUUGUUUGUUGAAUGAACUCUCCUGUUAUAUCUUGUUGGGCUUCUAUAUACUCAUUCCAUUCACCCACAGCUUUCUGCAUUGUUUCCCUUGGGUCUGUCUCAUAAACAUCAAAAGCUGUCCUGUUCCUUGCCUUCCAUAUUUGCCAAAGGAUAUUCACAGUCAGCGCUAUGUGGUCAUGUCCUUGCUCCCUAGUUUUUGCUCCUAAUAUCCCUUCCCACCAUCUUACAAAAUUUCCUCUCAUAUCCCUCAACCCAUCCCAUUGUAUGGGUGCAAGUUUCCAGGUCGUUUCAGCCAUGUUACAAAAGAACAACAUGUGUUCUAACGUUUCCACCUCUUCCCCACAGCUACUACAUAUUGGACUGCCUUUGCCUGUUCGCUUAUGUAUUUGCUCAUUCACUGGCAGGCUAUGAUGUAGGCACCUCCAUAUGAAGUGCUUCAGUUUGUGUUUCAGUUGUAAUGCCCAUACAUUCUUCCAAACUUUGGAGUUCUGUUGAGCAUAACUUGUACUUCCUCUAUCUCCUUGCCUUCUUUCCUUUUGUUUAUGCUUCCUUAUUUCCAUUGAUACAUCAUAUGCAGAUUUUACCGUGAACGCACCUGAUUUGGUGUAUCUCCAAUACAAACGAUCCUGGCAGCCUGUGAAACUGAGUGGAAUAGCUUUGAUCUUUUGGAUAUCCUCUGCUAUGAACCACCGGUUCAGUGUUUGCUGGUCCCAAGCUCCAUCCACUAUCAGCUCAUCCACUUUUCUUAGUGUGCACUGUGGUUCCUUUCUAGUCUUAAUCCUCCCCUCCUCACUCCCUUGCAACCGGUGGUUCAUUUGAGUAGGCUUGUUUUCAUUUGAGUAGCUGGACAAAACAUUUGAGUAGGCUUGUUUUCUAUUAAAUUUCCUUUCCUUCCCUUUUUUUUGGUUACCACACCAAAACGGACCUUGCCACAAGAGAAACGGAAACAGGUGUUGGCUAGCGGGCUUUGGUGCAUAAAAUUACUUGUUCUAUACAGUUCGAAGCCUCUAAUCCUUCUAUUCUCCAUCCAAAUUGCUUAAGUACGAAGUUUCUAGUGAAUAUAACAUAUGCCAGAACAUUCAGUAACAAGUCAGAUUAACUUGGCCCAAACAGGAUUUGAAAUUCGAAGGUUUAGAUUUGUACAGUUGUACAAGAACAAAAUUCUAGUGAAACAACAAAAGAACAGGAGCCAGCAAGCACUAGCCAAGUCACCACCCCUCCCGAAGGAAAAUGACUUUGGUUCAAUUUUCACCCAGCCUUGCACCAAGCUUUUCCUAAAUACAUAUAAAACAAGGGAAUAAAUCCAUUUCAACAUAAGAAAGCUUUGCCUUCACUGGAGUAUUUGGCUGCCGUAAUCUUCAUUAAAUUUCUCAUAACGAUGUGCAUGGAGAUGGGCAGAGGGCUUUGUGUUCUUCAAAGCGACCUCUAUGUCUCCAGGUGUAAUUGGUCCAACCUCAGGCAACUCUGCAAGCAACAAAAACUUUUAGCAACCAAGUACACUAGUAACUUGGACCCAACUAUAUAAUGAGAACAAUGAUUCAUCGAUAGACCAAGUUAAUUAGCACAUCCUUAAUCAAAUCACUUCAGAUAAUUGACAAAACACUUGCUCAACCACUGUUUGGUUGCAGAUUGAACACGUCAUAUUUCAACCACCCUCCACCAAUCAUUUCAAUGAACUUGCAUAGAUACCCAGAUCAUGUAUGGAUUUCAAAUCUUUACCAAUAAACAAUUAUCAAGGUUUUCAAACCAUUAAUAUCCUUCAUUUAAUUGGCAUCAUUUCAGAUCCAUUAUUGUCCUUUAAUUAAAUUUAGGUGGUAGACCUAGAGUGCUUAUUCAAAUCUUUUUGUCAUCCAAACUGAAUUGUUCAAACGGAUGAUUUCAAAAACCUUUUUUCCCAUUAAGCUCCUUGCACAAAAUAGAAUCCACCAAUCAAAAGAGGACAUCCUUUUCAGUCCUUUAACAGAAAGGUACACAGCAGAGCAGAGGCAAGUAAAAGCACAAUAUAUUCAUUAAAAGAUUUCUAGAUCCACACAAUCAUUGUCCAUGGGAGACAAACCUGUACAUAUGCAUAUACAACACAUACAUAUACAUAAACAUGUAUAUAUACAUAUAUUAUGUGUGUCAGUGUGCUAUGUAUGUGUUGUGUUAUAUAAAUAUAUAUACAUGUGUGUGUGUGUGUCUAUAUGUAUGUAUAUAAAUUUCAGUUUUCCUUUUUCACAUGGCAUUCCUAGAGUAAAGACUGCAGCAAAUAAUGGUGAAUAUAGCAUACCAUCCUCAGGCAUGACUUCUUGUUUGUCUUCAAGAAACAGUAUUAACUGUCUUAGGGGCUGCAUGGCAGCCUCUUUGCACAAUAACCUAAUAUCAGAACCAGAAUAACCCUCUGUUCUUUCGACUAAUAUAUCAUAAGGAAGUUUCUCUUCACCAGAGCUCGAUGGCAAGAGUUCCUCAAACAUGGCUCUUCGUGCAUCUGGUUCUG
This 3068-nucleotide long non-coding RNA is filed under the name Coffea arabica (coffee). Its description in RNAcentral is "long non-coding RNA (CARA_LNC006581)". Lineage: Eukaryota; Viridiplantae; Streptophyta; Magnoliopsida; Gentianales; Rubiaceae. The record is from RNAcentral.